Ornithorhynchus anatinus (platypus) is the source of this 660-nucleotide long non-coding RNA. RefSeq lists it as uncharacterized. The transcript is spliced from 2 exons. The record is from RefSeq and is a predicted model, not a curated record. Lineage: Eukaryota; Metazoa; Chordata; Mammalia; Monotremata; Ornithorhynchidae.
UUUGUAGGUGAUGUUCUGGAAAUUGCUGAAGAAGCUGGAUAUGCCUACCUCACAGUCAUUUAAAAGAUUGGACACCACUGCAACUUUCACGAUCUUCAAUUUGCUAAGUGCCCCAGACUCCGACUGGAAUACAGAUGGAGAAGUCACACUUGCCAACCGUGAAUCUUGGAAAUUCACAGGAGUCAGGCGGCGAACUGGAUGAAAUCUACACUUCUCGGUUGGGGUUGAACCUGCGGGCGGAAAUACUUCUCCCCUGCUAAGAGUCCCAUUCUAACGGUGAAAUCAAGCCACACGCUCCCCAAUCCCCACUUAGAUACCUCUGAGAACUUCAAAAUACGCUUUUUUUUCUGAAAGAGAGAUCAAUAAUUCCCCGUGAUUUGAAAUCUUAAAGACAGUACUGCACGAGAACCCAAUUAAAGAAUACUGGGGGGAAGGAAAAAAGAAAUCGCUUCCAAAAGUUUACCUUGUCCCGAGCUCCAAAAGUUAGGAUGCCCUCAAGUACCGCAAAAGUUGGAAACAGGAGGUAAAGUGGAGGCUGAGCGCUUCUCGCUCACCUUAAGUGUGUCUGUGGCUGUGGGUGUGUGUGCGAGAGAGGGUAUGUCCAGAAUGUCUCUUUGUGGAGUGGCAGAGGUCCUGAUCCAGGGAAGAAGGAACCACUUU